CCUUGGUGAUGAGAUCUGCACAUGUCUUACGCCUUGUGUGAAUGCCAGACCUGCAAAGGUGAACCCACUGGUGUUGCCAGGGCAACAAGGGGACAACUUGUUGGGGUUUCCAACUGUCUGAAAGGA
This is a small nucleolar RNA of Nerophis lumbriciformis (worm pipefish), 126 nucleotides long. RefSeq annotates it as small nucleolar RNA SNORD22. The record is from RefSeq and is a predicted model, not a curated record. NCBI's taxonomy places the organism in Eukaryota, Metazoa, Chordata, Actinopteri, Syngnathiformes, Syngnathidae.